UUAUGACCUGGGCUACAAACGUGAUACAAUGGCUGUUACAAAGGGUAGCUAAAGCGUAAGCUUCUGGCGAAUCUCAAAAAAGCAGUCUCAGUUCGGAUUGAAGUCUGCAACUCGACUUCAUGAAGUUGGAAUCGCUAGUAAUCGCGAAUCAGCAUGUCGCGGUGAAUACGUUCUCGGGGUUUGUACACACCGCCCGUCAAACCACGAAAGUUGGCAAUACCCAAAGCCGGUGGCCUAACUUGAGCAAUCAAGAAGGAGCCGUCUAAGGUAGGGUUGAUGAUUGGGGUUAAGUCGUAACAAGGUAUCCCUACCGGAAGGUGGGGAUGGAUCACCUCCUUU
RNAcentral lists this ribosomal RNA (339 nucleotides) under Iranian almond phytoplasma PA80. RNAcentral's name for it is "bacterial SSU rRNA". It matches the Rfam family "Bacterial small subunit ribosomal RNA", at positions 1202 to 1533 of the family's 1533-position model. Lineage: Bacteria; Bacillati; Mycoplasmatota; Mollicutes; Acholeplasmatales; Acholeplasmataceae. The record is from RNAcentral.